CAGGAGGGCCAUUGCUCUCUCAAAGGCUUUCGGAGCCUGGAGGCCCACCUCCACCUUGCCACUCCAUGCAAACCUUCAGCUCCCAACCCAUCCUAUCAGGACAGCCUUCUCCCUUUGGGAGAUAGCCCUGCCACGAUGUCGUUAUGGAGACAGGUCCGUAGGUAUGUACCCACUGAUUUUGACAAUAGCUUUCCAGCUGUGACUCCUUCAUUCCUAUGCCAGAAUACUGCUUCUUUCCGUUCAUUCCUUUUGUCCUCUCUUUCCCUCGUGCUUCCUAGUGUAUGGACCCCACCGCAGCUGGCCUGAGUUGUCUGCACGUCGAUGUUUUCCCAGCAGCAGAGUGUAUGGACCCCACCGCAGCUGGCCUGAGUUGUCUGCACGUCGAUGUUUUCCCAGCAGCAGAGGUGAGCACGCCCGCCACAGGGACAAAGACAGCUCUGUUCCCCAGGGGAUUGGGGGACUCUUGGUGACACCUCCCUUUUUCGCAAUCAAUCUACCAGCCUUAGGUCCGAUUUCCGGACCAGCUGUAUUGAGGGAACGGAAGAGGCUCCAAGGUAAAGACAAGGACGGCGUUUCAGGAGACCUCAGGCGAGAAACUGCCCAGGGAUUAACACAGCUGCUCACCAAAGGAUCACCGUUUGACCACCUUCCAUGCAGACCCUCAGGCACUUUCUCCUGGCACCAGAGCCCAGGUCAGCCUGGGUCUCCCAAUCAACAGCUCGCCGCAGACACCAGCCAACAGCCCAACAAAACCCCAAACCCAAGGGGAAAAUGGCAAAAGACCUCAAGAGACAUUUCCCGAAACAGACAUGCAGAGGGCAAAAAGCACUGGGAGACAUGUGCCCCGCAUCCCUCAUGAGGAGAGACAUGCACGUCAAAGGGACUCUGCAGGACCAACCACCUCUCUCUGAAGGGCCACCAUUAGGAAGUCUACAAGGCACACAUCCCUGAGAGGGUGUGGACAAGAAGAUGCCCUCCUCCACGGUGGGUAUUUUUGUACGUGUGGACAACCGCGAUGGACCACACGAUCGAGGGAAUCCACAAAAAUCAAUAGCGGACGACCUCAGCACCCAGGCCUCCCACUCUUGUCCUAUUUCCGGAAUUGGGUC
Molecule: long non-coding RNA, 1109 nt
Filed under: Sus scrofa (pig)
Lineage: Eukaryota; Metazoa; Chordata; Mammalia; Artiodactyla; Suidae
Description: lncRNA (ENSSSCG00070014880.1)
Source: RNAcentral